CUGGCCCUGAUGUUUCUUCACCUGUUGUUGUGGGCUGUGAUGUUGAAGUAGAGGUUUCAACAAUUACAGUGGUGGAAGUGGUUGUUGGGCCCGUGGGGACUUCUUUAGGUGGCUUUGUGGCUGUAGAUGAAAUUGUCUCUGUUGUGGUUUCUUCAACUGUUGUCGUUCCACCUGUGGUAGGUGUCGUUGUUGUUAAAGUAGUGGGAUUGGAUGUAAUGACAACUGGCCCUGAUGUUUCUUCACCUGUUGCUGUGGGCUGUGAUGUUGAAGUAGAGGUUUCAACAAUUCCAGUGGUGGAAGUGGUUGUUGGGCCCGUGGGGACUUCUUUAGGUGGCUUUGUGGCUGUAGAUGAAAUUGUCUCUGUUGUGGUUUCUUCAACUGUUGUCGUUCCACCUGUGGUAGGUGUCGUUGUUGUUAAAGUAGUGGGAUUGGAUGUAAUGACAACUGGCCCUGAUGUUUCUUCACCUGUUGCUGUGGGCUGUGAUGUUGAAGUAGAGGUUUCAACAAUUACAGUGGUGGAAGUUGUUGUUGGGCCCGUGGGGACUUCUUUAGGUGGCUUUGUGGCUGUAGAUGAAAUUGUCUCUGUUGUGGUUUCUUCAACUGUUGUCGUUACACCUGUGGUAGGUGUAGUUACCUCUGUUGUUGUAGUGGGUGCCAUUGUAGUUGUUGUUAAAGUAGUGGGAUUAGAAGUUAUGACAACUGGCCCUGAUGUUUCUUCACCUGUUUCUGUGGGCUGUGAUGUUGAAGUAGAGGUUUCAACAAUUACAGUGGUGGAAGUGGUUGUUGGGCUCGUGGGGACUUCUUUAGGUGGCUUUGUGGAUGUAGAUGAAAUUGACUCAGAUGUGGUUUCUUCAAUUCUUGUAGUUCCACCCGUGGUAGGUGUCGUUGUUGUGGGUGCAAUUGUUGUUGUUGUUAAAGUAGUGGGAUUGGAAGUUAUGACAACUGGCCCUGAUGUUUCUUCACCUGUUGUUGUGGGCUGUGAUGUUGAAGUAGAGGUUUCAACAAUUACAGUGGUGGAAGUUGUUGUUGGGCCCGUGGGGACUUCUUUAGGUGGCUUUGUGGAUGUAGAUGAAAUUGACUCAGAUGUGGUUUCUUCAAUUCUUGUAGUUCCACCCGUGGUAGGUGUCGUUGUUGUGGGUGCAAUUGUUGUUGUUGUUAAAGUAGUUGGAUUGGAAGUUAUGACAACUGGCCCUGUUGUUUCUUCACCUGUUGUUGUGGGCUGUGAUGUUGAAGUAGAGGUUUCAGCAAUUACAGUGGUGGAAGUGGUUGUUGGGCCGGAGGUGACUUCUUUAGGUGGUUUUGUAGAUGGACUUGUCUCAUUUGUGGUUUCUUCAACUGUUGUCGUUCCACCCGUGGUAGGUGUCGUUGUUGUGGGUGCAAUUGUUGUUGUUGUUAAAGUAGUUGGAUUGGAAGUUAUGACAACUGGCCCUGUUGUUUCUUCACCUGUUGUUGUGGGCAUCGAUGUUGAAGUAGAGGUUUCAGCAAUAACAGUGGUGGAAGUGGUUGUUGGGCCCGUGGGGACUUCUUUAGGUGGCUUUGUGGAUGUAGAUGAAAUUGACUCAGAUGUGGUUUCUUCAAUUCUUGUAGUUCCACCCGUGGUAGGUGUCGUUGUUGUGGGUGCAAUUGUUGUUGUUGUUAAAGUAGUGGGAUUGGAAGUUAUGACAACUGGCCCUGAUGUUUCUUCACCUGUUGUUGUGGGCUGUGAUGUUGAAGUAGAGGUUUCAGCAAUUACAGUGGUGGAAGUGGUUGUUGGGCUCGUGGGGACUUCUUUAGGUGGCUUUGUGGAUGUAGAUGAAAUUGACUCAGAUGUGGUUUCUUCAAUUCUUGUAGUUCCACCCGUGGUAGGUGUCGUUGUUGUGGGUGCAAUUGUUGUUGUUGUUAAAGUAGUGGGAUUGGAAGUUAUGACAACUGGCCCUGAUGUUUCUUCACCUGUUGCUGUGGGCUGUGAUGUUGAAGUAGAGGUUUCAACAAUUACAGUGGUGGAAGUUGUUGUUGGGCCCGUGGGGACUUCUUUAGGUGGCUUUGUGGAUGUAGAUGAAAUUGUCUCUGUUGUGGUUUCUUCAACUGUUGUCGUUCCACCUGUGGUAGGUGUCGUUGUUGUUAAAGUAGUGGGAUUGGAUGUAAUGACAACUGGCCCUGAUGUUUCUUCACCUGUUGCUGUGGGCUGUGAUGUUGAAGUAGAGGUUUCAACAAUUACAGUGGUGGAAGUGGUUGUUGGGCCCGUGGGGACUUCUUUAGGUGGCUUUGUGGCUGUAGAUGAAAUUGUCUCUGUUGUGGUUUCUUCAACUGUUGUCGUUCCACCUGUGGUAGGUGUCGUUGUUGUUAAAGUAGUGGGAUUGGAUGUAAUGACAACUGGCCCUGAUGUUUCUUCACC
This is a long non-coding RNA of Oncorhynchus keta (chum salmon), 2374 nucleotides long. RefSeq lists it as uncharacterized. The record is from RefSeq and is a predicted model, not a curated record. The transcript has 14 exons. NCBI's taxonomy places the organism in Eukaryota, Metazoa, Chordata, Actinopteri, Salmoniformes, Salmonidae.